CGGGAGCUGAUUCGCCGCUCUCGAUGCAACGGUCUCGCAAACCGUUGUGCGGUGUAAGCCGUACCCAGGGUUUGAAUCCCUGUCUCUUGU
RNAcentral lists this transfer RNA (90 nucleotides) under Paraconexibacter antarcticus. RNAcentral's name for it is "Paraconexibacter sp. 02-257 tRNA-Ala". Lineage: Bacteria; Bacillati; Actinomycetota; Thermoleophilia; Solirubrobacterales; Paraconexibacteraceae. The record is from RNAcentral.